UUAUGUUUGCCUGCUGGGACACUGGCAGCAGCCACUCUUUUUCCUAUAAAACCUGCGGAAGCGCGCAUUGUCAAGCCCGAGAUCAGGAGGAAAAUUCAAGAGAAGUUUGAGAAGAUCAGGGAACAGUUUGGGUUGUCAAAGCCAAAGACCAAUGAUGGGAAAGAGCCAUACCCAUCACCACCAUCGUCGGAGGAGAAAAAGCCUCAAACUUUGCCCCCUGCACCACCUCAAAAUGCUCAAGGAAGCCUGCUUGUACCACCAGUGGAAGCAAUUCUGCCUUGAGAUGGUAAUUCUUCUCUGAUAAAUGGUCAUUCAUUCCAU
RNAcentral lists this long non-coding RNA (321 nucleotides) under Prunus persica (peach). Its description in RNAcentral is "long non-coding RNA (PPER_LNC001362)". Lineage: Eukaryota; Viridiplantae; Streptophyta; Magnoliopsida; Rosales; Rosaceae. The record is from RNAcentral.